UCAAGAGAGAGGUCUCACUCUGUAGACCAGGCUGGCCUCCAACUCACAGGGAUCCACCUGCCUCUGCUUCCCAAGUGCGUUCAGAUACCAUAGAGCAAUGAAAACAUGAGACUUGCUCUCAAAUGCUGUCGGGAAUGCAUUUGGGAGGAACAGGGCUCAUCAUGCCCAUGCCUGACUCCUCUGUUCUGAGCCCUGUCUUCACGCUUUCCUUCUUAACAGGAUGGGGACUUUUAUCGGUGGGGGAGGGGCACAAGCCGUGGGGCACGCAGAGGGGUCAGAGGGAUCAAACUUAGGCCAUCAGGUUUGGUGACAAGUGCCUUUACUUGCCAAACCAUCUUCCUGGCGCCUUUUAAAAAUGUAUUAGUUUCUCUUUUCGUCUUCAUAGGGGUUCCUGGGAUUGAACUCAGUUUGUCAGCCUUACAGAGCUAGCACCUGUGAGCCAGAGAGGGACAUUUUAUAGGAGCCACAGGGCUGUGCCUUCAGGAGCCCAGAUUUCUUUUUUUCCUCUCUCUCUUCUCUCCUCUCUUCUCCUCCCCUCCCCUCCCUUAUCCUCUCUUUUUCUUUUCUCUCAAGGAGGAUGUGACUGUGCAGGGUCACUGCUGCCUUCCAGCCAGGAACUCGGGAGAUCUUGCAAUCUUGCUGGAGGGAAUCUGAGGUGAGGUCCUCAGUGAGGAUGUCCUUGACUGACAGCUGUCAGGCUUUUUGACCCUUGAAUCACUUAAGGCAGUGGUUCUCAACCUUCCUCAUGCUGCAACCCUUUAAUACAGUUCCCCAUGCUGUGGUGACCCCCGACCAUAAAAUGUUUUCGUUGUUACUUCAUAACUGUCAUUUCGCUACUGUUAUGAACUGUCAUGUAAACACGCAGGGUGUCUGAUGUGGGACCCCCCCCCCCAAAGGGGUUGCAGCCCACGGGUUGAGAACGGCUGACUUAAGGAGUGAUAAGGGCCUGUAGCUGGGUAUCAGUUGACGCAAACCAGAUCAGAGUUGUAGGGAUCAAGAGGAACCUGGGGUGGGUGCCUUGGCUUGCUGGUGGCUUUUUCUUGCAUGCCUUUGUGUUCUGUUUAGCAGCCAGGAGGAACUCUCAGGCUACAAGCCUGCCAGAGGGGAAGGAAGAUGUUCCCUCCAACUCUGCCUGGAGAACCCCUUGGAGGAUGGGACCCCUUGCCUCUGGCAGGCUAAGGACACUCGUGCGGGGAAUGCUGCUCCCUUGGAGGGUAGUUGCACUGCCUGACCCGGAGGUGACAUCCGAGUGAGUCUUCAUACGGUGGAUGGCGUCUUCUACUGUUGAUCCUGCAAGAUGAUCUUUCCUGACAGUUUCUUCUCUGGCCUCUGGCCCUGGCUGAACCAGGGGCUGAUGACUCUGGAUUGAGGGGCAGUCCUUGCCUCUGCCCUGGAUUCCCUGAGGUUUGGGUCACUGAAGCCCAGGGCCUGAGGAGGUAUCCUUCCCCUGGGAGUUUCAAGUUCAGACUCCUACAGCUACAGGGCUCUGCCUUAAGCCUGUGGCUUCUGCCCAGCUCCCCCUUGCCCUGCCAAAUGUCUUGGGGACAGGCACCCAGCAGCUUCCGGGUCUGCCUGACUGCUGGAGAAGCAAUACUAACCUGCCGUCCUAUUUUUAUUUUUUGGUCCUGGUGUUUGAACUCAGGGCUUUAGACAUACUAGGCAAGUGCUCUAUCACUGAGGUACAUGCCCAGCCCCUUUUUUUUGAGACAGAAUCUUGCUAUGUAGUCCAGCCUGGGCUUGAACUCAAUCCUUUUUGCCUCCAUCUCCAGAGUGCUAGCAUUAUAGCUGUGUACCACCAUGCCCAUGUGGCUUUCCUGUUUGGACUUCUGUGUCGGGAGAACAACCCUGAUGGAGGUGGGGUCCAUUCCCCAUGGCUUGGCCAUUGCAGAGCUGUCUGGACAUAGGAAUGGGUAACAGCAUGGUACACUGGAUAGGUAGAGGGACGGGUUAGUUUUCCUUGGACCUUGUUUCUGUUGAUAUAUUGUUUACUCUGUGUCACCAGAGUCCAGGUAGGGCCAGCACCAUCCCUGGCUUUAGGGGUAGGCAUGUGUUCCAGGCCUGGACAAAGACUGCUGGGUUCCUCCUCUCCCCAGUGGGACAUCAGCUGCAUCUUUUCAUGGGAGUUAAGUUGACAAGAUGUCAGCUUGGAAUUGCUGGUGGCCGACUUAUGCAGCUGAGGAUGAAGCCAACAAAGAAAGAAAACACAGAUUAUUCCAUGUGGACUUAUUCCUUGCUACCCAGCAAGUCCCUGAAGCCAGCAGUUGGACUGACCUGGUUAUAUGAGCCAGUGUAUUUUUUCUAAAACAAACUCAUCUUGGGUUUGUGUUACAGAACGGAUCCUAGUACAGCCUGUGAUUCCUACCUUCCUUUCUCAGAACAGCGUUGUUGAGCUGUUCUUUCUUUACAUGCAACAAAAUUCACCAGUGUUAAGUGUACGAUUCCUAGUUUUUCAGGAACACACGCCCUUGUAACUAUCAUCAUCAGGUUGGAAUAUUUCUUAACCUGCCCUAGAAGCUCCAUCGAUCCCUUGAUGGUCAGCCCUCCAGCCGUGGCCCACCGCUGACCUGUUUUUCUGGUGAUUCUUGUCUUUUCCGGGUGGUCACACGGUGUCUAUUAUGUGUCUAGUUUCUCUUAGUGUGUUUUCAUGAUUCAUCCCUCCAUGUGCAUCAGGGUCCAGCCACUCUGUUGUAGGCCGGGCAGCAUCAUGCCAUGUGGGUACAACCACCAUUUGUUCAGCCGUCUGGCAUACGACGGCUGGUUCCAGAUUUUGACUGAUAGGAAUAAAGCUGUUCUGCAUGUUCAAA
Peromyscus leucopus (white-footed mouse) is the source of this 2804-nucleotide long non-coding RNA. RefSeq lists it as uncharacterized. Lineage: Eukaryota; Metazoa; Chordata; Mammalia; Rodentia; Cricetidae. The transcript has 2 exons. The record is from RefSeq and is a predicted model, not a curated record.